Long non-coding RNA from Ovis aries (sheep), 1111 nucleotides. Lineage: Eukaryota; Metazoa; Chordata; Mammalia; Artiodactyla; Bovidae. The record is from Ensembl.
GGGGCGGAGAAGGGGGCGCGCUCCCCAACCCCUGGCAGCACCCGCGGCCCGUGGGGUUCGCUCCUCGCCCCAUCCCCACGCCCGCCCAGCCGACCCCACCUCGCCGGGCCUGUUGUUUGCGUGGGGGAGAGAGUGCAGAGGCCGGGUGACUCGUGUUGAAGGAGAAGGCAACAAAAAAAUUUUUUAAAAAGGAACAGAUGACUUCAUUCUCCUCGGGAAGGCUCUGUCCUACGUGGACAAUUUCCUGGGGACUGUGGUGGAACAGCCCCGUUGCCGCUGGAAGCACACGAAACUAAACCAGAAAAAAACCAAAAAAUUCUCGGUCUUGCCUGAAACCCAGCCAGGGGAGGCUGGUGGCGCGUGAACCGCGAGGAGGGUCGAAUUCUUCCGCUUGCGCUUGGGGCUUGGCUUCCAACAAACCUCCCCACUUAAAACUCCUGUACCCUGAGAGAGUGAGCAAGUGGCCCAACGUCACACAGCCAGGUUUCAUUCUGCCCAGACACCUGCAGGGACAAACCCAGCAGAGACCGGGGAGCAGAGCCAGUGUUUGGACCCGGGGCCUCGGAAGAGGGGUGAGGCUCAGCUCGAGGCCAGGCGAGGGGAGAUGAACUCGGCAGAGUCUCUCUGGUUCCUGAGUGGAUCACAGCCUGGAGAAGCCUGCGGAAAGGUGGGAGAAGUCAGAGGCUGGUGGAGUCCAGGCGAGAGACAAUGCUGGCCUGGCUGGGGACAGCAACAGUGGGAGAGACAGACAUGGCUGAAUUCAGGGUUUCUUUCAAGUAGAGUCAUCAGGAUUUGCCAAAGGAUCGGAUGUGGGGGUGGAAGAAAGAGAAAAGUCAAGGAUGACUGCCGUGGCACGAACAGUGGGAGGUACCAUUUCCCAAGAUGAAGAAGACUAUAGGAGAAGUGGGGGUGGGGCAGGGGGUAUCAAGGGUUGGCAUCUGCACACGGGAUGUCUGCAAAGCCUAUCUGAUACUCACAUAUUGUGUGCUUAGAGCUCUCAGCUGUCAUUUAAUCCACACCACAGAAAGAGACUGAGGCACAGAAAACAAACCUAUGGCUACCAAAGGGGAAAGGCUGGGAGGGGUAAAUUAGGAGGUUGGGAUUAACGUAC